Molecule: ribosomal RNA, 429 nt
Filed under: Actinomycetes bacterium
Lineage: Bacteria; Bacillati; Actinomycetota; Actinomycetes
Description: Actinobacteria bacterium partial 16S ribosomal RNA
Rfam family: Bacterial small subunit ribosomal RNA
Source: RNAcentral
UAGGGAAUCUUCCGCAAUGGGCGAAAGCCUGACGGAGCAACGCCGCGUGAGUGAUGAAGGUCUUCGGAUCGUAAAACUCUGUUAUUAGGGAAGAACAAAUGUGUAAGUAACUAUGCACGUCUUGACGGUACCUAAUCAGAAAGCCACGGCUAACUACGUGCCAGCAGCCGCGGUAAUACGUAGGUGGCAAGCGUUAUCCGGAUUUAUUGGGCGUAAAGCGCGCGUAGGCGGUUUUUUAAGUCUGAUGUGAAAGCCCACGGCUCAACCGUGGAGGGUCAUUGGAAACUGGAAAACUUGAGUGCAGAAGAGGAAAGUGGAAUUCCAUGUGUAGCGGUGAAAUGCGCAGAGAUAUGGAGGAACACCAGUGGCGAAGGCGACUUUCUGGUCUGUAACUGACGCUGAUGUGCGAAAGCGUGGGGAUCAAACAGG